This 22-nucleotide non-coding RNA is filed under the name Rattus norvegicus (Norway rat). Lineage: Eukaryota; Metazoa; Chordata; Mammalia; Rodentia; Muridae. The record is from RNAcentral.
UUCAGACUUGCUUAUUUUAUAC